Molecule: non-coding RNA, 71 nt
Organism: Ictidomys tridecemlineatus (thirteen-lined ground squirrel)
Lineage: Eukaryota; Metazoa; Chordata; Mammalia; Rodentia; Sciuridae
Source: Rfam
CUGGGUGUAGUUCAAUGGUAGAGUAUGUGCUUAGCAAGUGUGAGUUCUGGGUUCCAUCCCCAGCACCUUAA